This is an RNA transcript of Aedes albopictus (Asian tiger mosquito), 898 nucleotides long. RefSeq lists it as uncharacterized. The record is from RefSeq and is a predicted model, not a curated record. Lineage: Eukaryota; Metazoa; Arthropoda; Insecta; Diptera; Culicidae. The transcript is spliced from 3 exons.
GGGGACACGUGAUGCUAAUGUAUAACGGGUACGGAUUCAUCAAAGACCGCCAAACGGCGAAGACCUGCAACUGGAAGUGUUCGCUGUUCCGAAGGAUGAAAUGUCGUGGGCGAGCCAUUACCAAAAUCGCCGACGAUCCCCCGAGCUUUAGGGCAGCUCAGUUCGGUUACACCCAACGUGGAAAGAUGAUGCUCCUGUACGAUGGUUUCGCCUACAUCAAAGAUCGUGAUGCCCGGAACAGCUGCAACUGGAAGUGUUCGGUGGCCGGAAAGCGAAAAUGUCGCGCCAGAGCCGUUACCAAGACGGCCCUUGGACGCCAAAUGAUGAAAAUUACCAACCCCAAUCACAACCACGACCGAAAAGCGUAUCGAUUCGAUACGGUGAAUUUCUUUGCCGACAAGAAAUCAAAUUAUCAUUUGUGCAUUGUACUGCUUAGUGUUUCAAUUGAUAACUAUACUGCGGUAGACAUCUCUAUGUGACUUUUGGAGCUAACUGUCCUCUUCAUCAUUUUAGAACUAUUCGCUAAUGCAUACUUUGGAAAAACUCGACGCGGUCACCAAAUGCUUCUGCAUGAAAAUUACAGCUACGUGCGGGAGAAGCAGAAGCAAAGUACCACCAACUGGAAGUGCUCCUGGCAUGUCAAAUUUCGUUGUAAGGCGCGAGCAGUGACGAAAGAAAUCGAGGGUCAGCAUUUUGUUCGAAUAACCUGCGGUUUCCAUACCCAUCCUCCGAACAAUGGCUCCAAGUCUGGUGAUGCGUCGAAAAACUACCACGAGAACUAUUAGACAGUGGAAAAUGGUACCAUGGUAUACUACGACCAAACACUGGCUCUGUGCAACCGAAGCAUUUGAUAUUAUUUUGUUAAUCAUACAUUGCCAGAGUAAACUUUAAAUACAAA